GAUGGCGGGAACUACACCUGUAGCUGUGAGAACGGCUGGACUGGACACGACUGUGAUCAGGACAUAGAUGAGUGCGCGUCCUCCCCAUGUUCACAAGGAAGCUGUACGGAUGAUGUCGGGAGCUACACCUGUAAAUGUGAGAUCGGCUGGACAGGACACGACUGUCAUCAAGUUGAUGACUGUUUGUCCUCCCCCUGUGUUCACAGCACCUGUACUGAUGAUGGCGGAAGCUACACCUGUAGCUGUGAGAACGGCUGGACAGGACUCAAAUGUGAUCAAGACAUAGACGAGUGUGCGAGCAGCCCUUGUUGGCUGGGAGGGACCUGCCUGGAUCACGUGAACAGCUACAGCUGUGUCUGUCCGAAGAUACCACCGGCAAGAACUGUGAAACUG
Long non-coding RNA from Branchiostoma floridae (Florida lancelet), 393 nucleotides. RefSeq lists it as uncharacterized. NCBI's taxonomy places the organism in Eukaryota, Metazoa, Chordata, Leptocardii, Amphioxiformes, Branchiostomatidae. The transcript has 4 exons. The record is from RefSeq and is a predicted model, not a curated record.